AGAGUUUGAUCCUGGCUCAGGAUGAACGCUAGCGACAGGCUUAACACAUGUAAGUCGAGGGGCAGCAUGAGGUAGCAAUACCUUGAUGGCGACCGGCGCACGGGUGAGUAACGCGUAUGCAACCUGCCCGAUACCGGGGUAUAGCCCAUGGAAACGUGGAUUAACACCCCAUAGUACUUUUAUCCUGCCUGGGAUGGGAGUUAAAUGUUCAAGGUAUCGGAUGGGCAUGCGUCCUAUUAGUUAGUUGGCGGGGUAACAGCCCACCAAGACGAUGAUAGGUAGGGGUUCUGAGAGGAAGGUCCCCCACAUUGGAACUGAGACACGGUCCAAACUCCUACGGGAGGGA
RNAcentral lists this ribosomal RNA (346 nucleotides) under uncultured bacterium. RNAcentral's name for it is "bacterial SSU rRNA". It matches the Rfam family "Bacterial small subunit ribosomal RNA", at positions 8 to 350 of the family's 1533-position model. The record is from RNAcentral.